GGCCCAGUAGUUUCAGUGGAAAAUGUUAGUAAAAAUUUACAAAUUUUAUAAAAAUUGUUGAAAAUUGACUAUAAAGGACAAUAACUCCUUAGGGGGUCAAUUGACCAUUUCUGUCAUGUUGACUUAUUUAUAAAUCUUACUUUGCUGAACAUUAUUGCUGUUUACAGUAUAUCUCUUAGUAUCUAUAAUAAUAUUCAAGAUAAUAACCAAAAUCUGCAAAAUUUCCUUAAAAUUACUAAUUUGGGGGCAGCAACCCAACAACAGGUUGUCUGAUUUGUCUGAAAAUUUCAGGGCAGAUAGAUCUUGACCUGAUAAACACUUUUACCGCAUGUCAGAUUUGCACUAAAUGCUUUGGUUUUUGAGUUAUAAGCCAAAAACUGCAUUUUACCCCUAUGUUCUAUUUUUAGCCAUGGUGGCCAUCUUGGUUGGUUGGCCAGGUCACGCCACACAUUUUUUAAACUAGAUAUCCCAAAAAUGAUUGUGGCCAAGUUUGGAUUAAUUUGGCCUAGUAGUUUCAGAGGAGAAGAUUUUUGCAAAAGAUUACUAAGAUUUACGAAAAAAUGGUUAAAAAAUAACUAUAAAGGUCAAUAACUCCUAAAGGGGUCAACUGACCAUUUUGGUCAUGUUGACUUAUUUGUAAAUCUUACUUUGCUGAACAUUAUUGCUGUUUACAGU
This 675-nucleotide long non-coding RNA is filed under the name Mytilus galloprovincialis (Mediterranean mussel). Lineage: Eukaryota; Metazoa; Mollusca; Bivalvia; Mytilida; Mytilidae. The record is from RNAcentral.